RNAcentral lists this long non-coding RNA (385 nucleotides) under Homo sapiens (human). RNAcentral's name for it is "non-protein coding lnc-VPREB1-28:1". The record is from RNAcentral. Lineage: Eukaryota; Metazoa; Chordata; Mammalia; Primates; Hominidae.
AUGGCCUGAAUCCCUCUGCUGCUCACCCUCCUCAGUCUCUGCACAGGAGGGUCCUGGGCAGUCAGGGCUCACUUGGUGGCCUGCACAGUUUGUCUGUGACUAAACCAGCCACCAUCUCCUGCACUGGAAACAGCAGCAAUAACGUCCUUGGAAUUGUGUCCUGGUACCAACAAUGAACAGGAAGUGUCCUUAAACCUCUGAUCUGUGGAUGUAAAUAUCCACCUGCAGAUCCAGAACUGAUUCUUGAGUGAUCAGUCUGGCAAGGAGGCCUUCCUGAGCAUAUCUGGGCUCCAGGCUGAGGACAAGGCUGAUCAUUAACGUUGGAUUUGGACAGUUCUCUGGAGGCCCCCACGGUGCUGCAGUCUGUGGGGAAGUGAGAUGGGAA